CAGCUGGGAUUAUAAGCAUGCACUACCACGCCCGGCUAGUUUUUGUAUUUUCAGUAGAGAUGGGGUUUCACCAUGGGUGAUAUUUCCAAGGAAGCAAAACCAUGAAGUGUAGAACCACCAUGCUGUUUUCACUACACUGCUGUUAGAAAACUAGACAUUUGGAUGGAAGAACAUGCUGUGCUCUGAAGAACCAAGAACGGUAAGCUGGCCUGUCUUCGAAAGCCUGGACUCUAAGAAGUAAAGCUCUGGAUUUAUGGGCAGCCAUGUCCCCUAUCACUGGGUCUUUGGAGAGAGGAUGUGGACAUGAGAGGUGGAGAGACUCCUGUCUACAUUUGGAUUCCUCUGGUCAGUUGUUCCUGUGGCUCCACUGCCUUUCUCUUCCUUCAGUAUUACUGUAUUCUAAUAACCUAAUAGAUCCUUAUAUCUUCCCUUUCAACUCAAGCUAAUUAAGUUUCUGUUUUUUGCAAAGCAAAAUGUUCCAAGUCAUAACACAUGACUUAAGCUCCAGAUAUAGUGCCCUGAAUAAGGGUGGAGUAAUCAUAAUACUGAAUCUCCAGGUGGCCAUGUCUAAACUUUGCCUUGGCCACACAAAUGUGGUCAGCGUGGUCAUUUCCAGGCUCAACUUUCUGAAGAUAAUGGUCAAGAAACAGAAGUCUCUGAGGAAGAGCAGGUAGCUGUUUAGAAAUGUUUAAAGGGUUGCCAUGUAUAUGUCAAAGUAGAUGUUCUAUGUUGCUCCAAAGGGCAAAACUGAUACCAAUAGUCAAAAGUUGGAAUGCAGAUUUUGACUGAAUAUGAAAAUUGUGUGUGUAAGUAUUAGAAUUAUCAAAUAAAGGAAUGGAUGACCUA
Macaca mulatta (Rhesus monkey) is the source of this 846-nucleotide non-coding RNA. Lineage: Eukaryota; Metazoa; Chordata; Mammalia; Primates; Cercopithecidae. The record is from RefSeq and is a predicted model, not a curated record.